UUAUUUCUCGCAUUAGAGCCGUGGAGGAUCCAUCUACGCUUUGCCAUUAAGGGCAGACAGCUGGACUGUGACUCCUGCGUCACCGUGCGCCGAAUCCAGGUAGCAACGGCAGAGUUUAAGUGGCGUUUCCACGGAGACCACUCUCUGAGUCUUCAGAGAUGAAAAUGAAAGAUUCCAUGCGCUCAUGCUGAAAGUGCUGCUGUCAAAGCUACGAGGUGGAUAAGGAGGAAGAAGAAAUGGAGCACUAGUGAUUUGCAGUUUGGAGCUGGAUGAAGCUGGAAUCUCAGUUUUCCAUGUAUUCAUGGUUGGAGAAUGGUUUCCAUGUAUGGCCGGGAGCAGCGUGCAUGAAGCUAGAGUGAAAAUGGAGCUUUACUGAAUAAUUAACAGCCUUUCAUAUGCUGUUAUGCACAGUUUGAACUGAACUCGUACAUGUGGACAGGAAUUAAGUCAUAUUUGAUUUAGCAAGAAUUAAAGGCUGAUUCAUUUUUAUUUCAGAUUUACACACACAAAACUUUCUGCGAUUGUCCACAUCUAAAACUUCUUAUCAACUCUGGAGAAAGAAAAAUUGUACAAACAGGCCUCACACAGGCCAUUCCUUUCCCUGUGCAUGCUGGGAAAUGCAGUAAACUAGCAAUCGCAUUGUUGCCAGGGAACGCACAAGGGAACAUAUUCACUCGCAUGCAUUUAAACACAUUAGAGGCAUUUUCCUUGAACUUGCCCACCGAUACACGUGAUGCACACAAAGGAGUAAAUCAUCACAUCACCCAGGCCACAGAGGGAGGGUAACGCUCACAGACAUGCAAACACUUUCCGCAAGUAACUCCACAUUAUUACCACAUACUGACAUUAGGCGUUUUACCAAGACUCUUGCACAUGCCCCAUGAUGCACAGUGGGGGUAUAUGGUAUGCGUGCAUGACUAUACAAUUAGCAUCAUAGUAUGGCACUUAUACACACACAGCAGCCUCUUCUGGUAUGCACAAGGGCACUCUUAUUUACAUGCGUCAAACACACUAUGCCCCACUGUUCACACACAACACACACACACACUAUUCUGCCCAGAUACUGUAUAAUGAUGAUGCUACUUUGGUCCCCAAACAAGAUUAUUCAAGCGUCUUUCUUUUUCAUGCAUCCAUCAUUCUCCGUCUUUUUGUCAGACGGCCCCUUGUGCUCAUCUUUUGUCAGUUACCGUAUUUACAUUUUGUUGAGGUUUUCCUGGAUAUUUCUUGCAUGUGCAAAUAAUGUUGACAAGCUGUAUGUAAAUCGUUGAAAUUUUACAUGCACAUGUGAAAAAUUUAAUAUCAAAACAUGUUAUUUGUGAAUCUGAAUUGGAAAUGUGAACUAAAAAGUAGCUUUGAAA
This is a long non-coding RNA of Seriola dumerili (greater amberjack), 1358 nucleotides long. RefSeq lists it as uncharacterized. The transcript is spliced from 3 exons. NCBI's taxonomy places the organism in Eukaryota, Metazoa, Chordata, Actinopteri, Carangiformes, Carangidae. The record is from RefSeq and is a predicted model, not a curated record.